GAUUAGAGUUUGAUCCUGGCUCAGAUUGAACGCUGGCGGCAUGCUUUACACAUGCAAGUCGAACGGUAACAGGGAGCUUGCUCCGCUGACGAGUGGCGAACGGGUGAGUAAUGCAUCGGAACGUACCCAAUCGUGGGGGAUAACGUAGCGAAAGUUACGCUAAUACCGCAUACGUCCUGAGGGAGAAAGCGGGGGACCGAAAGGCCUCGCGCGAUUGGAGCGGCCGAUGUCGGAUUAGCUAGUUGGUAGGGUAAAGGCCUACUAAGGCGACGAUCCGUAGCGGGUCUGAGAGGAUGAUCCGCCACACUGGGACUGAGACACGGCCCAGACUCCUACGGGAGGCAGCAGUGGGGAAUUUUGGACAAUGGGCGCAAGCCUGAUCCAGCCAUGCCGCGUGAGUGAAGAAGGCCUUCGGGUUGUAAAGCUCUUUCAGGUGGAAAGAAAACGCAUGGGUCAAUACCCUGUGUGGAUG
Molecule: ribosomal RNA, 472 nt
Filed under: uncultured bacterium
Lineage: Bacteria
Description: bacterial SSU rRNA
Rfam family: Bacterial small subunit ribosomal RNA
Source: RNAcentral